RNAcentral lists this long non-coding RNA (680 nucleotides) under Chrysemys picta bellii (western painted turtle). RNAcentral describes it as "lncRNA (ENSCPBG00000023426.1)". The record is from RNAcentral. Lineage: Eukaryota; Metazoa; Chordata; Testudines; Emydidae.
UCGCUCCAAUCACAGGCCGCCCUCCCCCAGGCGAGGGUGCCUUUGAUUCGCUUCAGGGCUCGACAAUAGUGUGGCUGCAAAACGCAGCCCUGGGACGGUUCGGCAUUGACCGAGGCAGACUGUGGACGCAGAGCCAGGGGGUGUAGCACUGUCGCUUGCUGCGACGCCACUGCGGCAGUGGGCGCUCAAUAGAAAGCACCAAUGCUUCAACUUUUCAGCUGCACUCAGGCGCGCCACAGACCCGGGUUCGUUCCUUAGCCCCGGCAAGGAAGGCACAACUUGUUAGUGCCCCGCAAAGUGCUUUGGGAUACAGACUGCAGGAAAGACGUUGAACAGAGCAAAGUCCGGAUCCUGCAACCAACUCCGCUUAUGCAGACCUGUGUCCAUAUACAGCCCUGUUUACCCACUUCGAAUGCUUGCUUGAAACAAGCUGCUGGAUCAGGGAUUAAAACGUGUUUAAAAAGAGACUCAUUUUUACCAGCUCUUCCUUGCCAUCAAUCUUAAGAAACCUGGACUCUUGAGAGGAGCAAAAGGAGUCACAUCUUUGCCAAGAGACGUUUUCAUCGGAAAAGAGGUAAGAGGCUUGUCCCUGAUGUAUCCACCUCUCUGGACAAGGGUUGCUUUUAUGUCCUCAAAAAACCAAACACAUGCCAUUACCCUAUUGCAUCUCUACAUAAAUG